Molecule: transfer RNA, 77 nt
Filed under: Rhizorhapis suberifaciens (corky root of lettuce)
Lineage: Bacteria; Pseudomonadati; Pseudomonadota; Alphaproteobacteria; Sphingomonadales; Sphingomonadaceae
Also listed under: 100 other names
Description: tRNA-Ile
Rfam family: tRNA
About the family: Transfer RNA (tRNA) molecules are approximately 80 nucleotides in length. Their secondary structure includes four short double-helical elements and three loops (D, anti-codon, and T loops). Further hydrogen bonds mediate the characteristic L-shaped molecular structure. tRNAs have two regions of fundamental functional importance: the anti-codon, which is responsible for specific mRNA codon recognition, and the 3' end, to which the tRNAs corresponding amino acid is attached (by aminoacyl-tRNA synthetases). tRNAs cope with the degeneracy of the genetic code in two manners: having more than one tRNA (with a specific anti-codon) for a particular amino acid; and 'wobble' base-pairing, i.e. permitting non-standard base-pairing at the 3rd anti-codon position.
Source: RNAcentral
GGGCCGGUAGCUCAGGUGGUUAGAGCGCACGCCUGAUAAGCGUGAGGUCGGAGGUUCAAGUCCUCCUCGGCCCACCA